ACGGAAGGCAGCAGUGAGGAAUAUUGGUCAAUGGACGCAAGUCUGAACCAGCCAUGCCGCGUGCAGGAAUAAGGCCCUAUGGGUCGUAAACUGCUUUUGUGGUGGAGCAAUAAGUCGUACGUGUACGGCGAUGAGAGUACAUCACGAAUAAGCAUCGGCUAACUCCGUGCCAGCAGCCGCGGUAAUACGGAGGAUGCAAGCGUUAUCCGGAUUUAUUGGGUUUAAAGGGUGCGUAGGCUGUGGUCCAAGUCAGGGGUGAAAGCCCGGAGCUCAACUCCGGAACUGCCUUUGAUACUGGAUUGAUGGAAUACGGAUGCCGUGGGAGGAAUGAGUAGUGUAGCGGUGAAAUGCAUAGAUAUUACUCAGAACACCGAUUGCGAAGGCAUCUCACGAAUCCGUCAUUGACGCUGAGGCACGAAAGCGUGGGGAUCAAACAGGAUUAGAUACCCUGGUA
RNAcentral lists this ribosomal RNA (454 nucleotides) under uncultured Rikenellaceae bacterium. RNAcentral describes it as "partial 16S ribosomal RNA". It matches the Rfam family "Bacterial small subunit ribosomal RNA", at positions 341 to 792 of the family's 1533-position model. The record is from RNAcentral. Lineage: Bacteria; Pseudomonadati; Bacteroidota; Bacteroidia; Bacteroidales; Rikenellaceae.